This is a non-coding RNA of Cordylochernes scorpioides, 73 nucleotides long. Lineage: Eukaryota; Metazoa; Arthropoda; Arachnida; Pseudoscorpiones; Chernetidae. The record is from the annotation of a GenBank genome assembly.
UGCCAAAACGCGGGUUCAAACCAGGGACAUUUAGAUCUUCAGUCAAAUGCUUUUGCAACUGGGGUAUUUCGCC